GACGAACGCUGGCGGCGUGCCUAACACAUGCAAGUCGAACGGAAAGGUCCUGCUUUUGUGCGGUGCUCGAGUGGCGAACGGGUGAGUAACACGUGAGUAAACCGUCCCUGACUGUGGGAGAACUUCAGGAAACUGGGGCUCAUACCGGAUAGGAGCUCUUGCUGCAUGGUGGGGGUUGGUAAGAUUCGGUGGUUGGGGCUGGACUCGCGGCGUAUCAGCUUGUUGGUGGGGUAGUGGCUUACCAAGGCUAUGACGGGUAGCCGGCCUGAGCGGGUGACCGGCCACAUUGGGCCUGAGAUGAGGCACAGCCUCCUACCGGACGGAACAGUGGGGAAGAUUGCACGAGGAGCGGAGCGCUAGUGCAGCAACGCCGCGUGCCGGAUGACGGCCUUCGUGUUGUAGACCAAUUUCGCCUGUAACGAAGCGUGAAUGACGGUAAUGGGUAAAGAAGCACCGGCUAACUACGUG
Molecule: ribosomal RNA, 468 nt
Filed under: uncultured bacterium
Lineage: Bacteria
Description: partial 16S ribosomal RNA
Rfam family: Bacterial small subunit ribosomal RNA
Source: RNAcentral